AGAUAUGAUUUCGGUUAUAUCUUAGUGGCGAACGGGUGAGUAACGCGUGAGCAACCUGACCUUCAGAGGGGAUAACACUUAGGAAACAGGUGCUAAUACCGCAUAAGACCACGACCCGACAUCGGGAUGCGGUCAAAGGAGCAAUCCGCUGAGGGAGGGGCUCGCGUCCCAUUAGAUAGAUGGCGGGGUAACGGCCCACCAUGUCGACGAUGGGUAGCCGAGCUGAGAGGCUGAUCGGCCACACUGGAACUGAGACACGGUCCAGACUCCUACGGGAGGCAGCAGUGGGGAAUAUUGGGCAAUGGGCGCAAGCCUGACCCGGCAACGCCGCGUGAGGGAAGAAGGCCUUCGGGUUGUAAACCUCUGUCCUUGGUGACGAAACAAAUGACGGUAGCCAAGGAGGAAGCCCCAGCUAACUACGUG
This 423-nucleotide ribosomal RNA is filed under the name uncultured bacterium. RNAcentral describes it as "bacterial SSU rRNA". It matches the Rfam family "Bacterial small subunit ribosomal RNA", at positions 69 to 507 of the family's 1533-position model. The record is from RNAcentral.